Haplochromis burtoni (Burton's mouthbrooder) is the source of this 3608-nucleotide long non-coding RNA. RefSeq lists it as uncharacterized. The record is from RefSeq and is a predicted model, not a curated record. The transcript has 3 exons. NCBI's taxonomy places the organism in Eukaryota, Metazoa, Chordata, Actinopteri, Cichliformes, Cichlidae.
UGUGUGUGUGUGUGUGUGUGCUGUGUGUGUGUGUGUGUGUGUGUGUGUGUGUGUGGCUGAGGUUUGUGUGGAAGUAAGGAAAUACCCCGUAGGCGGUAUUACACUGGGGCUGUGCUGCCAUCUAGUGGUCCUAUCAGGGAAUACAGUGAGGCACAGACGGAUGCAGGGUCCACAUGGCUCACAUGAGGCAACUCAAGGAAACGUUCCUAGCAAAUCUGAACAAAUACCUCAACAAAAUAAUUUCUAUGUUUAAAUGUUAUGUAGUAAAUGUGUACUUUCAGUUUGGCACUUUUCUGGCAGUUUGCACUCCAGUGUUUGUACUAUUAUUAAAUAUUAUUUUAAGUAAUACAGUGCAGUCAGUAUGCAAAUGUGCUGGCAUUUAGCUUAAAUGCAUUUAAUUUACAUUUAAGCUACAUGCCAGCUUUAGCUGUGGUGAAAUGAAUGUGAGUUAGUCCCAGUCUUUAUUAUGUGUUAACUUGUGGUGUGGUUAUCCUAAAUGUUUGCACUGAUGUAUCUUUAAUAAUUUAUUUUCAAAUAUUAUUUAUUGUUGAACUAAUUAAAUGUGUCUAAACCGUGUGUCUGAUUUCAUUUGUACAAUAUUUCUUUCAUUUUUUCUUUUCUUUUCUUUUUUUCUUUUUUUGCUUGAAAGGGCUCUGGUUGGGCUGAAAAUAUACUGUAAUUUAUGACAUACAGCUUCUUUGGGAUCCUUGUGAUAAACCUACAAUUUGCAAACCAAAACAAGGAUUUUUCUUUUUCUUUACUUACCUGUCAUAAAGACUUUCAGUCCAGGUUAAACAUAAUUUGUUGAAACACAUACAGAUCUAGAAAGGAAACAUGUUUGUGUUAACACCAUUAACACAAAAACUGAUCAUUAUGAUUAGAAGUAACUGUAGUAGCUGUAGUAAUAAUGGUAGUAGUGGCAGAAUCCUCCCUUAGUUACGCUGCAAUAGCUCUAGGCUGCUGGGGGCUUCCCAUGAUGCACUGAGUGUUUCUUCUUUUCCCCUAUUUAUGUGUUUAUACACCUCUCCGCAUUUAAUCAUUAGUAAUUAAUAAUCCCUGGCUCUCUUGCACAGUGUGUCUUUUGUCUUGUCUCCCUCAUCUCACUCCCAACCGGUCGCAGCAGGUGGCUGUCCCUCCCUGAGCCUGGUUUUGCCAGCAGUUCCUGUUAAAAGGGAGUUUUUAUUUCUCACUGUUGCCAAGUACUUGGUCAAAGGGGUCAUAUGAAUGUUGGGUUUUUUCUUUAAACUGAGUUGAGUAAUAGUAGAAGUAUUUAGUCAAUCAUAUAGUACUUUGGGUGGACUAUACCACUAAAAUGGAAGGGGAAAACCAGACUGACACAUAUUUUAAACUGGGAAUAAGACUGUGCUUGUUAAAUAGCCUUUGUUUAUUGUAUAAUAAUAUUCACAUAUUAUCUUUUUGUCUUAGGGUUUUUACUCAGUUGUUAGUUUAUGUGUUUCCAUGGUGACCUGAUGAACAAUUUACCUGAAACUGAGUUCAGUACAAUUUGAAUUUUUGGCGGCACAGUAUGAAACUAUGUUAAUUCCGUUUUUAUAUCUUGGAGUCCUUGACAAAUAUGAGAAGUUGUAUCUUAAUAAAACAAAUGUAUAUAUGACGAUAUGGGAGUUAGGUAUUUUAGUUAUAGAUGGGAAAGUUAAAAUUUUUUAGUGAUGAUCAUCAUGGUGAGCUGGCAUGUUAGAGAGUUUAAUGGUGCAACCUUGUACAGUAUAAACAUAUAUUUUCUCACCUCGUGUGGUGUAAUUUGUUUAAAUAGGCCUCACUCAAGGAAUAGCCUGCAUUAGCAGGUUAAUUUUUAAUUGUUAAUUUCUAAUGCGAUUUAACCAUAGUACUAAACGUGAAUGUAUUACUCCGAUUGGUGGUGAUAUAUCAAUAAUGCGCGAAUGUAGCAACAGCAAGUUCAUUGUGGGAAUAAACGCAUUCUACCAAGAGUAGCAAAAAUUAGCAGAUCAAAAACAAGCAAAGCUAAAGGUAGAAGAACAGAAGAGAAGGACAGAAACACUAUAGUGAAGGUGCAACUUUUACACAUGCGUUUCCUCUCCAGAAAUGAGACAUGUCAAUGAGAGGAAGCAGUUUUGUUGAGCACCAGAAAUAUGUGGGGUACAUAUUGAGAUGACAGGAGUGACUACAACAACGCUUCCACCUGAUAUAAGUCUUGUGUCUGUCUCAAGGCAGGAUCUAACCUCUGUAUAAGCUCUUUCCCUCAUGCGCACCAUCACUGUGUUGUUUUACUAUUUCACUGUUUAGAGAUUCCCAAAUGAUCCUUCAAAGAUCUGCAGGUUUUUGUCUCUAUGGAAGCAAAUUCUUUCAACAGUGUCAAGGUCCUUGCUAAAAAAGUCCUCCUGCCAGGGCAUGCGUUACCUGCAUGGGAGGAGCAUGACUCCCCCAGGGGCCAAUAGCCAAUCAGAGUGCACACCCGUUCUCUCCUUGCUGUGUCUCCCUGCAGGCAAGUUAUGGACUUGGAUUGAAUCAGACUAAGGCGGGUGUUGUGCCAAAACGUGAUUGUCUUCCAAAAACUGAUUUCCGGUAUUUGCCAAUUUUUAAGUGGACAAAAGGGAGCUGAUUGAUUAUAAUACACACAUCCUUACUUGCCAACGAGAGUGUGUUUGACGUGGGCUCGUGGUAAAUAAAGUUCUUCCACUCUGACGUCAUUCCCCGUCUCUGACCGGACGUUAUUACCAGCGAAGGGAAUCAGGAUUUCAGUCAUCAUAUCCUGUCUGUGUUGUUGGUCAUCAGCUGCUCUCAUCUCUGUCGGGCUUAGGAAGAAAUCUCAGGAUAAGUACUUCUCUUAAAAUUGCUUAUGUACCUUUUAUUUAUCAGCUAAUUCAGAUGAUAAAAGUUUGCGAUGAUCACUCUUUAUCAUCCUUUGAUUUACACCUAUAAAGUGAAAUCAUUCCUUUUGAGUCUCUGAUAAGUUGUGACAUUUGAAAUUUUUUAAACUUAUUUCUGGAGUUUCUUUUAUUCUUCUAUUUCCUUUCUAAUCUGGUGUGAAUUGCAAAUAUCAGGCAAACUCUUGAUUGUGCAAUAUCAACAGUGUACCGCUACAUUAUUUUAUUUUAUUUUAUUUUAUUUUAUUUUAUUUUAUUUUAUUUUAUUUUAUUUUAUUUUAUUUUAUUUUAUUUUAUUUUAUUUUAUUUUAACAAUUCAGGACACUUUCUGUCAGUUGAAAAUCAGCUCUAAAAGCAGACAGCUUUUAGAUAUUAGCUUGUUACUGUUGUUACUUGAAAAUGUUUUUUCAGUUUUUACAUCAUGGGUGAGGGAACUUGACUGCUAAAAAAGCGGCAGUUCCUUUACUUUAAUUAAUAUUAUGAAGAAGUUGAGUUCAGUAGUUGAAUUAUAUUCAAGGCUUUAUUCAACAAUCCUGUGUAACACAUGUGUGUUAGGCAGGUUGUAUAGAAAAACGUGGUCAGAUUCAUGCUUCUGAUUGGCAGGUGACACCUGGUUGCACUUUCUGUUAGCAUUCAGCUUUGUGUUCUGUAACUACAGGGGUUCAACAAACAAUUGCAACGCAUCACACUGAUGUCUUCGGAAGUUUAUUUUUCUCUCUCUCUUAUUUUCUUCAGGCAUUGUGAAAACUGAAGAAAACACAAAGU